Molecule: ribosomal RNA, 252 nt
Filed under: uncultured bacterium
Lineage: Bacteria
Description: partial 16S ribosomal RNA
Rfam family: Bacterial small subunit ribosomal RNA
Source: RNAcentral
UACGGAGGAUGCGAGCGUUAUCCGGAUUUAUUGGGUUUAAAAGGUGCGCAGGCGGUCUGUUAAGUCAGCGGUCAAAGCCCGGGGCUCAACCCCGGCCCGCCGUUGAAACUGGCAGUCUCGAGUUGGAGAGAAGUAUGCGGAAUGCGCGGUGUAGCGGUGAAAUGCAUAGAUAUCGCGCAGAACUCCGAUUGCGAAGGCAGCAUGCCGGCUCCACACUGACGCUGAGGCACGAAAGCGUGGGUAUCGAACAGG